GAAAAGAAUGCUAAUACCGCAUAAUAUAUAUUUAUCGCAUGGUAGAUAUAUCAAAGAUUUAUCGCUUAGAGAUGGACUCGCGUCCGAUUAGUUAGUUGGUGAGGUAACGGCUCACCAAGACCGCGAUCGGUAGCCGGACUGAGAGGUUGAACGGCCACAUUGGGACUGAGACACGGCCCAGACUCCUACGGGAGGCAGCAGUGGGGGAUAUUGCGCAAUGGGGGAAACCCUGACGCAGCAACGCCGCGUGAAGGAUGAAGGUCUUCGGAUUGUAAACUUCUUUUAUUAAGGACGAAGAAAGUGACGGUACUUAAUGAAUAAGCUCCGGCUAACUACGUGCCAGCAGCCGCGGUAAUACGUAGGGAGCAAGCGUUGUCCGGAUUUACUGGGUGUAAAGGGUGCGUAGGUGGCUUUGCAAGUCAGAUGUGAAAUCUAUGGGCUCAACCCAUAGCCUGCAUUUGAAACUGCAGAGCUUGAGUGAAGUAGAGGCAGGCGGAAUUCCCCGUGUAGCGGUGAAAUGCGUAGAGAUGGGGAGGAACACCAGUGGCGAAGGCGGCCUGCUGGGCUUUAACUGACGCUGAGGCACGAAAGCGUGGGUAGCAAACAGGAUUAGAUACCCUGGUAGUCCACGCUGUAAACGAUGAUUACUAGGUGUGGGGGGUCUGACCCCUUCCGUGCC
This 679-nucleotide ribosomal RNA is filed under the name uncultured bacterium. Its description in RNAcentral is "bacterial SSU rRNA". It matches the Rfam family "Bacterial small subunit ribosomal RNA", at positions 153 to 847 of the family's 1533-position model. The record is from RNAcentral.